GUUGUCAUUGACUGGGUGAUGAGAAAAACAACAGAAGAUGCUCCAAGAGUAAUAAGAUGGAACCUUUCAGCAACAUUAGAAGAUCUUGAUUUUGCUGAUGAUCUUGCUCUUUUAUCUCACACCCACCACCAUUUACAAAAGAAGACAAACCGCCUUAAUACUUUUGCCAGUCAAGUUGGACUUAAAAUCAGCCAAACGAAAACAGAAGUCAUGACCCGUAACAUCAAUAACCCAGCUUCUUUCCUAGUAGAUGG
RNAcentral lists this long non-coding RNA (254 nucleotides) under Mytilus galloprovincialis (Mediterranean mussel). The record is from RNAcentral. Lineage: Eukaryota; Metazoa; Mollusca; Bivalvia; Mytilida; Mytilidae.